UUCUGUUUUAGUAGUAUUAGUAGCUCCCUUGUUUUUUCCCGCCUGCUCUCGUAUGUUCCGGUCUGUUACUGUUUGAUGCUAUUUUCUGUUACUGGUUCGUUGUUGUUGUUGUUGUUGUUACUAUAGUUGUCUUUCUCCCCUUUUCCUUAUCGUCCUUCGUCCCCCUAUUCUUUCUUUCUUCUUCGUCUCUCUCUUUUCACCUUUUCUUGAGCCAAGGGUCUAAUGGAAACAAGUGUUCUACCUCGCCAGGUAAGAGUAAGGUCUGCGUACACACUACCCUCCCCAAACCCCACUUGUGGGAUUAUACUGGGUAUGUUUGUUGUUGUUGUUGUUGAUCUUAGUUUGGUUUUGCCCCAUGAGUUUGAACCAGGGCUAACAUUUCAGAGCUUCUUCUGUGCUAACAUAUCACAACUUUUUUUUCUACUUUAGAAUGACAAUUGCAUCUGAUGGGAUUGUGAACCCUGUUAUGCUGCUUUAUCUCAGUUCCAUUGUGCCACUAAGGCACUAGCGCUCGAAAAAACUAUGACGUUUAUUCAGUUGGUCUUUCCUUUCUUCUCCAUCCCUCUGGUAGUGGUACUUGAGACUUUGUGGUGGAUACCUGGGAGUUCGGAGUAUAACUUCUAGCAUUACUUCUUACUGGCAUAUGGAGCAAAGCCCGGGGAAUCCUUUGAUGACACUCUAAAAUUCCACAUACUUCGCAUUUUAAAUGAGUAUGAUGAAGAAAAAGUUAUAUAGGCUUGUUUCCUCUUUGUAGAGAGAAUCCUCCUCUAGAUUCAUUCUUUCCCACUGUCUAUGUUAAGAUGAUUGCUGUUUUUACUUGUUAAUUAAAUUUGAGAAACAAAAUAGAUGAAGAGUUGUGUUAUCCACUGUAUUUGGGUCUAGACAAAGGGUACAAAUCAUAAAAUUAAAUACUUGACUCUGGAUGACAUCUAAUAGGUCUCAAGUUCUAUGAAUGCACGUUCAUCCCCUUCAAAUGCCCUUUAUCAUACACUUCAGCACUUGAACCUGCAGCAAGCAUACAUUGUUGGGUUCUUCCUCAAGCAGUUGCAAGCCAACUGAAACAUUAAAAAUUGCUUACACUCAGAUUGUUUAUCUGGUUGCUUUGUUCUUCUAUGAAAAGUACCAAUCUUUGAGAAGCUUUAUUUCGCUUUAGCUGAGCUUGUUUCAUUCAUGCCUUCUCUACCAAAGUGAGGCGAACAGAUUGACUUUUUAACUUAAUUACAAACUGGAGAUUCCACUUUGCCUUUGGUUGGGAGAUUAUAAUUGUCUCCCAAAAGCGAACUGCGGCUUUGUCUUAUCCACAGUUUUUUAUCCUUUGUUAUGUAUGGUGUUAAAUAUUUUGGGCUGUGUAUUCUCUCGAUCCAAGCAAUGUAUUUUGCCAAGCUCGUAACUAGAAAUAUUAACAUUUUCAUCAUUGUCAUCUUCCACACAUAUAUAUAUUACAAUAUAUUGAUUGAUGGAGCUGAUGUAGCAGACCUGAAGGUCCUUAGCAAUGACUUUUCCUUGAACUAAAUUUUAGUCAAGCUCAAUAUGUUUUUUUGGAGCAUGAGAAAUAGGAUUUGCUGCCUGGUAGCAGUGAGGUUAUCACACCACAGUGUUGGAGCUUGAGGAAGCACUCCUCCAAGCUUUCGAAAAAGAUUUUGCAACCAUGGUAGCUCAGCUGUUGCAGGCUGGCAGCUGCCAAGCCCCUAUAUUCUAACUCGGUGCUUGAAUGAGUAACCACACUUUGAUCUUUGGAGCUUCUAGAAGAUUUAGACCCAAGAGAAGCACAGCAGCCAUAUGUGGACCUUCCAUCAUCUAUUCAUUUUAUUUCCUGCCUAGUCGGCGUCAAACUAGUGAAGGUUAAACUAGGAGAUGGUUUCCAGAGCAAAUAUAUUAGGAAGUUCCUAUCCACAUGAUAGUACAUCUUUUCAAUGUCUAAUUUAUACACCAAAGGCAUGUCCUAUAUAAACCAACCUUUCUGCUAGAACUUAAACUGUCAUUUAUUAAUCUUCUCCUAUAAACCGAGUUUCUGAAUGUGUUGUUUUUUCCCCCUUCUCCCCUUUUCCUUAUCGUCCUUCGUCCCCCUAUUCUUUCUUUCUUCUUCGUCUCUCUCUUUUCACCUUUUCUUGAGCCAAGGGUCUAAUGGAAACAAGUGUUCUACCUCGCCAGGUAAGAGUAAGGUCUGCGUACACACUACCCUCCCCAAACCCCACUUGUGGGAUUAUACUGGGUAUGUUUGUUGUUGUUGUUGUUGAUCUUAGUUUGGUUUUGCCCCAUGAGUUUGAACCAGGGCUAACAUUUCAGAGCUUCUUCUGUGCUAACAUAUCACAACUUUUUUUUCUACUUUAGAAUGACAAUUGCAUCUGAUGGGAUUGUGAACCCUGUUAUGCUGCUUUAUCUCAGUUCCAUUGUGCCACUAAGGCACUAGCGCUCGAAAAAACUAUGACGUUUAUUCAGUUGGUCUUUCCUUUCUUCUCCAUCCCUCUGGUAGUGGUACUUGAGACUUUGUGGUGGAUACCUGGGAGUUCGGAGUAUAACUUCUAGCAUUACUUCUUACUGGCAUAUGGAGCAAAGCCCGGGGAAUCCUUUGAUGGUGGCAUUGUAAUUGCUGAAUCAUGGGAGAAGAAAGACGUGAAGGGAAAAUAGUCUAUGUUGCUCGGACUCUCCGAAAAUGUGGCUGCAUACGUGUCGGAUCCUCCAAAAGUAGUGCAUUUUUGAGGAUCCGACACGGGUGCGGCUACAUUUUGGAGAGUCCGCGUAACAUAGCAAAUAGUAGGUGGAGAUUUAUGCCAAAGCUAAGGGUAGGGUUGCAGAAAAUGGAGUAGGAGUUGAGAGAAAGUAUUGGGGUGAAAAAAAUCACAUAUUAACCUGAAACUAUCCUACAUCCAGAAUUAUCCAAAUUGUGGGGACACAUGACCUUUUUCAAGACUGGAAUAAUAUAGACCUUAAAAUGGAAAAUAAAGGUGCUAGCUUACAUAUGAGCUAACCAGUUGCCACUCAAAAGUUGAUUGCAAUCGCUCAUGAGCUAACCAGUCGUGAAUUGAUUGCUACACUCACUUCUAACAGCUUGCUGUCCAUGUUCUUAUAUAUCACUUCCUAGCUUCCUGGAAAAACUGCUAAAUUAUUACUGCAAGCUCAAUUCCAGCGUUAGGAUCAAAAUUGGAAUUUUGAGAAAGUGCCUGUGAAUUAAAAACGUCUGCAGCAACCAUUCGAUAAAUUAUGCUGAACAACUGGAGAUAAUUAUUCAUGGAAAAAUAAGUCCUUAUGUAUGUCGAUAUCUGCACUUAGCUUUGCAUCAGGUCUGGUCAUACAGUGUGAGUUGGUGAUAAUUUGGUUUGGUUCUCUGUCCAUCUUCGCAUAAUCUGUUUGUGAGCUGUUCUGGAUAAUACGUUAACAGAUGUCCAUAGUUGGUAGUGAAGCCUUCUGGUCAUCCACUAAGAAAUUUCAGACGUGAACAUAGGUAUAUCGGUUAGCAGUAUGGGAAUGUAAGUUCCACCUGAGAUCAUACUGUGGACUGACAAGUAUGUUUGGGAAUUUGGCCUAAAUAUGUGAGAAUAUGUUGACUCCAGUAUAUCCAUAGUGCAGCUUACUAUCAAACAGUAGAAAGCCAGUAUGCUUCUCAUACGCGUGAGAAUGUUCUGGAUUUCAGAGCUGACAUGAUCUGCUGAUUAUGCAGAGACCAUUGUCUUCCAAAAUUAUUGAGCCGAGGGUCUUCCGGAAACAGCCUCUCUACCUUCACAAGGUAGGAGUUAGAUCUGCGUACGUACUACCCUCCCCAGACCUCACUUGUGGGAAUACACUGGGUAUAUUGUUGUUGUUGUUGCAUUGUCUUCCAAAACAAAACUUUUAGCACAACCCCGUUGUCACAAUGCUUUUGAUUAUGAAUUUUUUCAUUUUUCUGUUGCUUGAUGUGAUGCUAUUUUUUUUCUUUUGCUGGGCGUGCUUGAUGUCACACUAACACCAUUGUUAUUGAAAAUUUUGGAGAAAAAUAUAUAGAUUCUUAACCUUAGGUGUAAUGUAUAAUCACAGUGUAGAGAUCACGGAGGAUACGUGUCAUUGCUGCUGGAAAAGCACUUGUUCUACACUUAACACUGUGGACUAGUCGAAGGGCAUGUAACCCUUUGAAUUAUUUUCACCAAAUUCAUCUUAAUAAUUAUUUAACCCUUUGUUUUCACAGGC
Molecule: long non-coding RNA, 4161 nt
Filed under: Nicotiana benthamiana
Lineage: Eukaryota; Viridiplantae; Streptophyta; Magnoliopsida; Solanales; Solanaceae
Description: long non-coding RNA (NBEN_LNC016672)
Source: RNAcentral